AUUGAACGCUGGCGGCAGGCCUAACACAUGCAAGUCGAGCGGAUGAAGGGAGCUUGCUCCUGGAUUCAGCGGCGGACGGGUGAGUAAUGCCUAGGAAUCUGCCUGGUAGUGGGGGAUAACGUCCGGAAACGGGCGCUAAUACCGCAUACGUCCUGAGGGAGAAAGUGGGGGAUCUUCGGACCUCACGCUAUCAGAUGAGCCUAGGUCGGAUUAGCUAGUUGGUGGGGUAAAGGCCUACCAAGGCGACGAUCCGUAACUGGUCUGAGAGGAUGAUCGGUCACACUGGAACUGAGACACGGUCCAGACUCCUACGGGAGGCAGCAGUGGGGAAUAUUGGACAAAGGGCGAAAGCCUGAUCCAGCCAUGCCGCGUGUGUGAAGAAGGUCUUCGGAUUGUAUAGCACUUUAAGUUGGGAGGAAGGGCAGUAAGUUAAUACCUUGCUGUUUUGACGUUACCAACAGAAUAAGCACCGGCUAACUUCGUG
RNAcentral lists this ribosomal RNA (484 nucleotides) under uncultured bacterium. Its description in RNAcentral is "partial 16S ribosomal RNA". It matches the Rfam family "Bacterial small subunit ribosomal RNA", at positions 30 to 507 of the family's 1533-position model. The record is from RNAcentral.